Long non-coding RNA from Daphnia pulicaria, 928 nucleotides. RefSeq lists it as uncharacterized. The transcript is spliced from 4 exons. The record is from RefSeq and is a predicted model, not a curated record. Lineage: Eukaryota; Metazoa; Arthropoda; Branchiopoda; Diplostraca; Daphniidae.
AAUUCUGUCGCCAAAUUGUGGCUUGCUGGCAUUUGCGUGUUGCUCAUCUAGCGGCACAAGUCGCCAUUGUUGGCGAUUUUUAAUUGUUUUAAUAUUUAACUAAUCAAACAAUUUUUGUUUUUUUUCUUGAAAAAUGCCGAGAUACAACCAAUUAAAAAAAAAAUCGGAAAAAUAUUUCCGAGGAUUAUCCCGCCACAAAGCCUUACAAAUUUGAAUCCAUACUGGACCAAGGAUUACUGUUAGCUGACCGGAAUCAACCAGUUUACCUUAUCAAAUGGGAAAAUUUCGAUGAUAAUUACAACUCUUGGGAGCCAGAGUCUUUUUUUAAGAAUCAACAGGGAAUUUUGGCAAAAUUCCAAAAACAAUUCUUAGAGAAUGGUGGGGACCCCCACAAGACUGUCACGGCGGAAAUGGUGGCUCACCAAUAUGACCAUAUGGGACGCUCCACCAGAGCUGGCAGCUCACACGAUUCACAAACCAACCACAACACUCCACAGACACUACCGAAGCAAACACGGUACAAUUUUCGAAGUGUCAGUAAAUCCACAAAGCCAACAACAUGCAAUACUUCAAUGAAUGAAGAAUUGAGAUCUGAGCAUGUGGAUGUUCAUAUGAUGGAUAGGUAUGUGGAUCAGAUGGAUGUGGAUCAUCCAUCCUAACAAGAUUUGUUGCGGAUGCCGAAUGAAGAUGAAUGAAGAUGGAUCCUAUACAUCGUUUUCAUAUACAGAAAAUCUUAACAUGGAUGAAAUAAAGAAAAUUGAUUCUGAAAUUUAAAAACAAAUAAUAAUGGCAAAAAGAUAAUCGUGACGUCCACACACUACUAUUGAUAAUGGUAGAUGAAGCAGUAAAUGCAUACAACAUUAGUCAUCUAACUUUGCAGCGAAUGUCUGUCACCCACAAACCUAGUAGAACAAGCUCUCAUAUAUGA